AUUGUAACCCCUGGGCUGCAGUGACAGGGUGUGCCUUCAGAGGGCACUGGGCAUUGUUACCCCUGGGCAGCAGUGACAGGGUGUGCCUUCAGAGGGCACUGGGCAUUGUUACCUCAGGGCAGCAGUGACAGGGUGUGCCUUCAGAGGGCACUGGGUACUCUAACCCCUGGGCAGCAGUGACAAGGUGUGCCUUCAGAGGGCACUGGGCACUCUAACCCCUGGGCUGCAGUGACAGGGUGUGCCUUCAGAGGGCACUGGGCAUUGUUACCCCUGGGCAGCAGUGACAAGGUGUGCCUUCAGAGGGCACUGGGUACUCUAACCCCUGGGCAGCAGUGACGGGGUGUGCCUUCAGAGGGCACUGGGCAUUGUAACCCCUGGGCUGCAGUGACAGGGUGUGCCUUCAGAGGGCACUGGGCAUUGUUACCACUGGGCAGCAG
Molecule: non-coding RNA, 437 nt
Organism: Pelobates cultripes (western spadefoot toad)
Lineage: Eukaryota; Metazoa; Chordata; Amphibia; Anura; Pelobatidae
Source: the annotation of a GenBank genome assembly